CUCGGCAUACUGCGUAACACGUGGACAACUACCCUGAGGAGGGGGAUAACCCCGCGAAACUGGUGAUAAUACCCCAUAGACUAUGGAUGCAGGAAUGCUCUGUAGUUAAAGGCCCGCCGCCUCAUGAUGGGUCUGCGGCCGAUUAGGUUGUUGUUGGGGUAACGGCCCAACAAGCCUGUAAUCGGUACGGGUUGUGGGAGCAAGAGCCCGGAGAUGGAUUCUGAGACACGAAUCCAGGCCCUACGGGGCGCAGCAGGCGCGAAAACUUUACAAUGCGAGCAAUCGUGAUAAGGGAACUCCGAGUGCCCGUAAAAUCGGUCUGUCCGCCAGUGUAAAUAACUGGUGAAGAAAGGGCCGGGCAAGACCGGUGCCAGCCGCCGCGGUAAUACCGGCGGCUCGAGUGGUGGCCACUAUUACUGGGCUUAAAGCGUUCGUAGCUGGUCUGUUAAGUCUCUGGGGAAAUCUUCCGGCUUAACCGGAAGGCUCUCAGGGAUACUGACAGACUAGGGACCGGAAGAGGUGAGAGGUACUCCAGGGGUAGGAGUGAAAUCCUGUAAUCCUUGGGGGACCACCUGUGGCGAAGGCGUCUCACCAGGACGGCUCCGACAGUGAGGAACGAAAGCUGGGGGAGCAAACCGGAUUAGAUACCCGGGUAGUCCCAGCUGUAAACGAUGCGCGUUAGGUGUAUCGGUGACAACGAGUCACCGAGGUGCCGAAGAGAAUCGUGAACGCGCCGCCUGGGAAUAGCUCGCGAGG
Molecule: ribosomal RNA, 756 nt
Filed under: uncultured soil archaeon
Lineage: Archaea
Description: bacterial SSU rRNA
Rfam family: Archaeal small subunit ribosomal RNA
Source: RNAcentral